GGCAAUCUUGUCUAUGUUGGGGAAAAAUUUCAGCCCUUGAUUCAGUUGGGAAGCAUCUCAACCGUUGGCUCAAAGUGUGCACCUCGAGCUGCCAAAUUUGGCAGCUCCAGGCUGUGAACUGCCCGAGGUGGCCACUUUGAGCCACUCACCGGAGCCGUUUAUAACUUUUUCGACCCGACCUGACCAUUCUCCGGGAUAAAGGGGUUUCAUGUGGACAUGUUGGUGUAUGUUGUGUUGGAUUUGGAGGCCACACGAGCCGGAA
Molecule: long non-coding RNA, 262 nt
Filed under: Populus tremula
Lineage: Eukaryota; Viridiplantae; Streptophyta; Magnoliopsida; Malpighiales; Salicaceae
Description: long non-coding RNA (PTRE_LNC003359)
Source: RNAcentral